UGGGGAAUAUUGGACAAUGGGCGCAAGCCUGAUCCAGCAAUGCCGCGUGGGUGAAGAAGGCCUUCGGGUUGUAAAGCCCUUUUGUACGGGAAGAAAUCCUGUCGGUUAAUACCCGGCGGGGAUGACGGUACCGUAAGAAUAAGCACCGGCUAACUUCGUGCCAGCAGCCGCGGUAAUACGAAGGGUGCAAGCGUUAAUCGGAAUUACUGGGCGUAAAGCGUGCGUAGGCGGUUCGUUAAGUCUGUCGUGAAAGCCCUGGGCUCAACCUGGGAAUGGCGAUGGAUACUGGCGAGCUAGAGUCAGGUAGAGGGUGGCGGAAUUCCCGGUGUAGCGGUGAAAUGCGUAGAGAUCGGGAGGAACAUCUGUGGCGAAGGCGGCCACCUGGACCAUGACUGACGCUGAGGCACGAAAGCGUGGGGAGCAAACAGG
This 429-nucleotide ribosomal RNA is filed under the name uncultured bacterium. RNAcentral describes it as "bacterial SSU rRNA". It matches the Rfam family "Bacterial small subunit ribosomal RNA", at positions 355 to 776 of the family's 1533-position model. The record is from RNAcentral.